RNAcentral lists this ribosomal RNA (207 nucleotides) under uncultured bacterium. RNAcentral describes it as "partial 16S ribosomal RNA". It matches the Rfam family "Bacterial small subunit ribosomal RNA", at positions 568 to 774 of the family's 1533-position model. The record is from RNAcentral.
CACGUAGGCGGACCAGAAAGUUGGGGGUGAAAUCCCGGGGCUCAACCCCGGAACUGCCUCCAAAACUCCUGGUCUGGAGUUCGAGAGAGGUGAGUGGAAUUCCGAGUGUAGAGGUGAAAUUCGUAGAUAUUCGGAGGAACACCAGUGGCGAAGGCGGCUCACUGGCUCGAUACUGACGCUGAGGUGCGAAAGCGUGGGGAGCAAACA